GGGCGGGUGGCGGAACUGGCAGACGCGUACGGCUCAGGACCGUAUGAGUGUAUAACUCUUAAGGGUUCAAGUCCCUUUCCGCCCA
This 85-nucleotide transfer RNA is filed under the name Candidatus Elusimicrobium euhamitermitis. RNAcentral describes it as "tRNA-Leu". It matches the Rfam family "tRNA". From Rfam's summary of the family: Transfer RNA (tRNA) molecules are approximately 80 nucleotides in length. Their secondary structure includes four short double-helical elements and three loops (D, anti-codon, and T loops). The record is from RNAcentral. Lineage: Bacteria; Pseudomonadati; Elusimicrobiota; Elusimicrobia; Elusimicrobiales; Elusimicrobiaceae.